Molecule: long non-coding RNA, 2092 nt
Organism: Mustela putorius furo (domestic ferret)
Lineage: Eukaryota; Metazoa; Chordata; Mammalia; Carnivora; Mustelidae
Source: Ensembl
AUGGAAGUGAUGGCAUUGGCUGGCAUCCAGAAUCCCAAGCACCUCGCCCUUUGGAAGUGUCACUUGCCCUUUGGAGAUGUUCAUGGCAGAGCCCAAGUCCGGGGAAGUAGCAUAUACCUGGGGAAACUCUUCUUCCACAACCCAGUACCUAUUAGUCCAAAGCUACUUGAGCCCUGGGAACAGCAAUGCCAGGUGAGAGGGCAGGGCUUGUGUUGAUAUCCAACUACAAUUUUCUUAUAUCCAGUCACUGAUGGACUGUCUAACCUAUUUACAGAGACACUGAUAUCAUCCAGCCAGCAAGCAGAAUUCUCUGAAGGUCUUUCCGACAGUGCAUCGUCGCCUCCCUUGCCUCCUUACAAUGCUGUCAUCUGCUCCUUGGUGAACACAUCUCGGCACCCCCCACUCAGAAAUAACACCACAGCUUCUUGAUUCCAUCUACUUUCCUACACAAGGGAAAGCUGUGCACAACCGGGGGAAUGAAGUCCCAGACUCCACACAGGGGAUUUCCGUAGGGUCUUCUAUAACUGAAGGCCACUGGUAACUAGCCUGUAGCCAGUAUGGUGACUGAAAGUAGAUGGAGGUGCACUUCUAGAUCGGUUCUUAGACCCAUGGGUUAAAGCCUCCUGCCUCGCCUGUGACUCAGGGUCCGUCCAGUGAGGUUCCCAGGUUCAGAACACGCUCCCUCCUGAGCGAGGAGGGGUGCUGACACUAGAUGGCAGGAAAGGGUCAGUUUGCCUGUCUCGACCCCCACCAGGGCUCCUGUCUCCUUUAGUUAAAGGCAAGCUCCUGGACUGAGGCCACAGGGAGAGGAUGAGUGGUGAGUUGGUGUUGGAUCGGUAUACACACGUUGCUUAACAUGCAACUGUCAAUCACUAUUCUACCAAAUCAACCUCCCUCACUGGAAUAGCAUCUCUAACUGAACACCUUGGUGGGAGCUGACUCAGCCUCCCAUCCAUAAGACGGAGAAUGGUGCCUCCCUAAUGGAGCUGUGAAAAAUAAUGAAAUAUAUAUAUAUAAUGUCCAAUGUGCAGUAUAUACUCAUAAAAUGUGGCUUUUAACUACGACUUUUAUAUUUCUGCUGAGAGUAUCACCUUUCUGCGGUAACCCCAGGGACCUCGUGUUAAUCUUUGUCUUAGACUGUUAGGUCCCUUCAUAUUCAGGCACCAAAUUCUAUUCAGUUUUUCUCUAAAGUGUUCAUUUCCACUAUCAAUAUUAGGACACGCACACAUUUUUUUUUCAUGCCCAGACCACUGUUACUGCCUGCCCACGGGAUGAAUUAAGCGAAGCAUUCGUUCGAGAAACAUUUAUUGAGCAUCUAAUAUAUGUACUGCUUAAUGCCUUGGGACAAACAACUCCUGCUCUCCUGGUACUUAUGUUCUUGUGGGUGGAGGUAGCUAAUGUGCAAAUCAACAAAGGGAUAAUCAAGAAAAAAAAAAGUCACUGGUGGUAAGUGAGAAACAAACACCAAAGCGGACAGUGAUGGGAGUAUGAGUAGCGGGGGCGGAGAGGAAAUGGAGACAACACAGACGAUAGAUGGUUAGGGAAGAUCUAUUUCGGGAGAAGCUACUGGAGCAGAGGUCUGAAUGACAAGCAUGUCUGUCAGGGGCAGCGAGUGAAUGGGUCUUCGUGUAAGGGUGAGACAGGCCCGGGGGAAGGAUGGAGGGCAGGGCCCGUGUGGUUGUCACAUGAGCGGGAAGGGCACAGUGACAAGAGAUGAAAUCGAAGAGGAGAGUGGGACCCUAUCUUGUAGGACAAUCAGAUGGUGGAGAGCAUAGGAAGCGCGCUGGGUCUCAUCAGAAGCGUCUUAUUAGCUGCUGGAGGUCAAGAACAUGAUGUGACUGAUGUUUUAUAAAGCUCACUCUCCUUGCCCAGUGGAGAAUGGACCGGGGGCCUGGCAGGAGGGGAAGCAGAGUAGCCUGGAGAGAGGCUGGUGGCUGGUACCACUGGAGACAGAGCAAAAAGGAAAAUACAGGAUAUGGUUUUAAGAAAAUUCCACACUCAUUUUCCCGAGGUCAUUUCUCAACUCUCAAAACUUUGUGGCCAGCUCAUUGUACUUCCCGCUGAAUCAAAUCUAAAUAAAUGUGGUUUCAAG